This 1418-nucleotide unclassified non-coding RNA is filed under the name Leishmania donovani. RNAcentral's name for it is "gene:unknown". Lineage: Eukaryota; Euglenozoa; Kinetoplastea; Trypanosomatida; Trypanosomatidae. The record is from RNAcentral.
CCCAAGCUCUGCAUUCCGUUGCUUCUGAUCAGCAAAAGAAUAAUGCAAGCAGACACCGCUGUCUCUCAUGUAGUGCAGCGUGUGCGCGUGUGCUUGUGUGGGGGAUGGAGUCCCCCCUCCUCCUCCCGCCACACAUACGCGCGUUGAGGGGGUGGAGGCUGGGGGGAUGCAAAGCCGCCGCCUUUUUUCUUCGUUCUCCUUUGCGUUUCUUUUGUCUUGGACAGUUUUGCAUCCCACCAUUUGCGUUAUCGACCUAUGACUUUCUGCCCCCACCCCCUCUCCCUUCCUUCAUCUCGUCCUCCACUACACCCUUCUCAUUUUCUUAAGGUUUAUCGUCUCCUGUGUCUACUGGGCGUGCGUGUUGCGUGUCUUUUCAGAGGGAGCCGUUCACGACUUUUACAAGAUAGGAGAAAGAAUUCAAUGGCCUGCAGAUGCGGAGGCCUCAACAAGCAACGAAAAAGAAGAGGCGACGGCGAUGCGAGGGGAGAGGGAAAAGAAGGCAGUUUUUUUUUUCCUUUCAGCAGCAGCGGCAGCAGGAGCCGCAGCGCGUGAAACACGUGACCACUGACAUGACACAAAACGAUGAAUUUAUAUAUGUGCAAGCGUUUCACUAUAGCUGCUUGUAUACGUCGUGGAUGCCCCUGUGCCAGCUGACCUCCUGCUGCUGUUUUCUCUGUUGUCGGUCUCUCUCUUGUUUGCUCUAACUCUCCUUUGGCUUCCUCCUCCUCACAGUCGACGCCAACCGAUCUCCGUGUUGCUCAUUUUAGCUGAAGCACACACACACACACACACACAGAGUUUCUCCCACAAUUCCAGCGAUGUUUGUACUUUCCGCCUUCCUUUUGGCUGAUGAGGUCCGUUUGUCGGCUGGCUAGUUUGUUUGAUCAUUUUUCUUGUUCUUUGCCUUGCUUCACAAGCACUGCUUUUUUUUGUGUGUGUAUUAUGCCGACUGCUUUCCUCCAGUUUGCGUGCGUGUGCUGAACAAGAUUUUCGCGCAUUAUAUAUAAAGGACUUAAUGGCGUUCUUUUCUCCCCCCUUUGCUUGCCUUUUUGCGCUGCCUCAGUGUUGGCUCGUUCUUUUGUUUUUCAAGGGCGGAUAUCUACGAACGUUUUCUGUACCACCGACGAAGGGGGUGGGAGAGAGGGAUCGUCCGAGAAAGACGCGUGCGUGCAUACACAGGCUUGCGCGUUCUGCGUGGAUGCGCGUGGCAUCUCCCUCCCUCUUGCGCCGUCUCGCUUUAUGACACCUUUCCUCCCUUUGGCUGCGUCUCUCCACGACUUUCUUCUCUCUUGCUGUGUACGGAUUCGUAUUUGCAUGUGCAGACCCGCAGGCAGACAUCCGUGAAAAGAAAAGGGAAGGCGAAAUAGCAAAUAAGGUGAGGCGUGCGCGUGCGUGUGCGAGGUUCUCUCAACAACAAC